This 2787-nucleotide ribosomal RNA is filed under the name Escherichia coli. Its description in RNAcentral is "bacterial LSU rRNA". It matches the Rfam family "Bacterial large subunit ribosomal RNA". RNAcentral also lists the same sequence under 1 other name. The record is from RNAcentral. Lineage: Bacteria; Pseudomonadati; Pseudomonadota; Gammaproteobacteria; Enterobacterales; Enterobacteriaceae.
AGCGUACACGGUGGAUGCCCUGGCAGUCAGAGGCGAUGAAGGACGUGCUAAUCUGCGAUAAGCGUCGGUAAGGUGAUAUGAACCGUUAUAACCGGCGAUUUCCGAAUGGGGAAACCCAGUGUGAUUCGUCACACUAUCAUUAACUGAAUCCAUAGGUUAAUGAGGCGAACCGGGGGAACUGAAACAUCUAAGUACCCCGAGGAAAAGAAAUCAACCGAGAUUCCCCCAGUAGCGGCGAGCGAACGGGGAGCAGCCCAGAGCCUGAAUCAGUGUGUGUGUUAGUGGAAGCGUCUGGAAAGGCGCGCGAUACAGGGUGACAGCCCCGUACACAAAAAUGCACAUGCUGUGAGCUCGAUGAGUAGGGCGGGACACGUGGUAUCCUGUCUGAAUAUGGGGGGACCAUCCUCCAAGGCUAAAUACUCCUGACUGACCGAUAGUGAACCAGUACCGUGAGGGAAAGGCGAAAAGAACCCCGGCGAGGGGAGUGAAAAAGAACCUGAAACCGUGUACGUACAAGCAGUGGGAGCACGCUUAGGCGUGUGACUGCGUACCUUUUGUAUAAUGGGUCAGCGACUUAUAUUCUGUAGCAAGGUUAACCGAAUAGGGGAGCCGAAGGGAAACCGAGUCUUAACUGGGCGUUAAGUUGCAGGGUAUAGACCCGAAACCCGGUGAUCUAGCCAUGGGCAGGUUGAAGGUUGGGUAACACUAACUGGAGGACCGAACCGACUAAUGUUGAAAAAUUAGCGGAUGACUUGUGGCUGGGGGUGAAAGGCCAAUCAAACCGGGAGAUAGCUGGUUCUCCCCGAAAGCUAUUUAGGUAGCGCCUCGUGAAUUCAUCUCCGGGGGUAGAGCACUGUUUCGGCAAGGGGGUCAUCCCGACUUACCAACCCGAUGCAAACUGCGAAUACCGGAGAAUGUUAUCACGGGAGACACACGGCGGGUGCUAACGUCCGUCGUGAAGAGGGAAACAACCCAGACCGCCAGCUAAGGUCCCAAAGUCAUGGUUAAGUGGGAAACGAUGUGGGAAGGCCCAGACAGCCAGGAUGUUGGCUUAGAAGCAGCCAUCAUUUAAAGAAAGCGUAAUAGCUCACUGGUCGAGUCGGCCUGCGCGGAAGAUGUAACGGGGCUAAACCAUGCACCGAAGCUGCGGCAGCGACGCUUAUGCGUUGUUGGGUAGGGGAGCGUUCUGUAAGCCUGCGAAGGUGUGCUGUGAGGCAUGCUGGAGGUAUCAGAAGUGCGAAUGCUGACAUAAGUAACGAUAAAGCGGGUGAAAAGCCCGCUCGCCGGAAGACCAAGGGUUCCUGUCCAACGUUAAUCGGGGCAGGGUGAGUCGACCCCUAAGGCGAGGCCGAAAGGCGUAGUCGAUGGGAAACAGGUUAAUAUUCCUGUACUUGGUGUUACUGCGAAGGGGGGACGGAGAAGGCUAUGUUGGCCGGGCGACGGUUGUCCCGGUUUAAGCGUGUAGGCUGGUUUUCCAGGCAAAUCCGGAAAAUCAAGGCUGAGGCGUGAUGACGAGGCACUACGGUGCUGAAGCAACAAAUGCCCUGCUUCCAGGAAAAGCCUCUAAGCAUCAGGUAACAUCAAAUCGUACCCCAAACCGACACAGGUGGUCAGGUAGAGAAUACCAAGGCGCUUGAGAGAACUCGGGUGAAGGAACUAGGCAAAAUGGUGCCGUAACUUCGGGAGAAGGCACGCUGAUAUGUAGGUGAAGUCCCUCGCGGAUGGAGCUGAAAUCAGUCGAAGAUACCAGCUGGCUGCAACUGUUUAUUAAAAACACAGCACUGUGCAAACACGAAAGUGGACGUAUACGGUGUGACGCCUGCCCGGUGCCGGAAGGUUAAUUGAUGGGGUUAGCGCAAGCGAAGCUCUUGAUCGAAGCCCCGGUAAACGGCGGCCGUAACUAUAACGGUCCUAAGGUAGCGAAAUUCCUUGUCGGGUAAGUUCCGACCUGCACGAAUGGCGUAAUGAUGGCCAGGCUGUCUCCACCCGAGACUCAGUGAAAUUGAACUCGCUGUGAAGAUGCAGUGUACCCGCGGCAAGACGGAAAGACCCCGUGAACCUUUACUAUAGCUUGACACUGAACAUUGAGCCUUGAUGUGUAGGAUAGGUGGGAGGCUUUGAAGUGUGGACGCCAGUCUGCAUGGAGCCGACCUUGAAAUACCACCCUUUAAUGUUUGAUGUUCUAACGUUGACCCGUAAUCCGGGUUGCGGACAGUGUCUGGUGGGUAGUUUGACUGGGGCGGUCUCCUCCUAAAGAGUAACGGAGGAGCACGAAGGUUGGCUAAUCCUGGUCGGACAUCAGGAGGUUAGUGCAAUGGCAUAAGCCAGCUUGACUGCGAGCGUGACGGCGCGAGCAGGUGCGAAAGCAGGUCAUAGUGAUCCGGUGGUUCUGAAUGGAAGGGCCAUCGCUCAACGGAUAAAAGGUACUCCGGGGAUAACAGGCUGAUACCGCCCAAGAGUUCAUAUCGACGGCGGUGUUUGGCACCUCGAUGUCGGCUCAUCACAUCCUGGGGCUGAAGUAGGUCCCAAGGGUAUGGCUGUUCGCCAUUUAAAGUGGUACGCGAGCUGGGUUUAGAACGUCGUGAGACAGUUCGGUCCCUAUCUGCCGUGGGCGCUGGAGAACUGAGGGGGGCUGCUCCUAGUACGAGAGGACCGGAGUGGACGCAUCACUGGUGUUCGGGUUGUCAUGCCAAUGGCACUGCCCGGUAGCUAAAUGCGGAAGAGAUAAGUGCUGAAAGCAUCUAAGCACGAAACUUGCCCCGAGAUGAGUUCUCCCUGACUCCUUGA